GAUGAACGCUGGCGGCGUGCCUAAUACAUGCAAGUAGAACGCUGAAGGAGGAGCUUGCUCUUCUGGAUGAGUUGCGAACGGGUGAGUAACGCGUAGGUAACCUGCCUGGUAGCGGGGGAUAACUAUUGGAAACGAUAGCUAAUACCGCAUGACAACAGUUAUUGCAUGAUAACUGUUUAAAAGGGGCAACUGCUCCACUACCAGAUGGACCUGCGUUGUAUUAGCUAGUUGGUGAGGUAACGGCUCACCAAGGCGACGAUACAUAGCCGACCUGAGAGGGGGAUCGGCCACACUGGGACUGAGACACGGCCCAGACUCCUACGGGAGGCAGCAGUAGGGAAUCUUCGGCAAUAGACGGAAGUCUGACCGAGCAACGCCGCGUGAGUGAAGAAGGUUUUCGGAUCGUAAAGCUCGGUUGUAAGAGAAGAACGAGUGUGAGAGUGGAAAGUUCACACUGUGACGGUAUCUUACCAGAAAGGGACGGCUAACUACGUG
This 495-nucleotide ribosomal RNA is filed under the name uncultured bacterium. RNAcentral's name for it is "partial 16S ribosomal RNA". It matches the Rfam family "Bacterial small subunit ribosomal RNA", at positions 28 to 507 of the family's 1533-position model. The record is from RNAcentral.